RNAcentral lists this ribosomal RNA (446 nucleotides) under uncultured Glomus. RNAcentral's name for it is "SSU rRNA". It matches the Rfam family "Eukaryotic small subunit ribosomal RNA", at positions 610 to 1058 of the family's 1831-position model. Lineage: Eukaryota; Fungi; Glomeromycota; Glomeromycetes; Glomerales; Glomeraceae. The record is from RNAcentral.
UUGUUGCAGUUAAAAAGCUCGUAGUUGAACCUCGGGGUCUACCCAUUGGUCAGGCUUAAUUGUCUGCACUGGUGAGAUGGAUCUCUACCUUCUGAGGAACUUUCAUGCCAUUUAUUUGGUGUGAUGGGAAAUCAGGACUGUUACUUUGAAAAAAUUAGAGUGUUUAAAGCAGACUAUCGUCUGAAUACAUUAGCAUGGAAUAAUGAAAUAGGACGGACUGAUUCUAUUUCGUUGGUUUCUAGGAUCACCGUAAUGAUUAAUAGGGAUAGUUGGGGGCAUUAGUAUUCAAUUGUCAGAGGUGAAAUUCUUGGAUUUAUUGAAGACUAACUACUGCGAAAGCAUUUGCCAAGGAUGUUUUCAUUAAUCAAGAACGAAAGUUAGGGGAUCGAAGACGAUCAGAUACCGUCGUAGUCUUAACCAUAAACUAUGCCGACUAGGGAUCGGAC